This is a long non-coding RNA of Priapulus caudatus, 237 nucleotides long. RefSeq lists it as uncharacterized. The transcript is spliced from 3 exons. The record is from RefSeq and is a predicted model, not a curated record. NCBI's taxonomy places the organism in Eukaryota, Metazoa, Priapulida, Priapulimorpha, Priapulimorphida, Priapulidae.
GUGUGUAAUUCUAUUCUUUUAUGUUUUUUAGACUUCGCUAGAGUAUCUCCCAAGUUUCCUGCUUGCCUUUGAAACACAUUCAAAAAUGACUGGAUUUGCUGUCGUGGAAUUUGUAGACGAGAAGGCGGUUGAGGUUAUUCACAAGUCAUGGAUAGAAAGAAGGGAUGAGGUUCUGUACUGCUAGUGGCCCACAAACAACGUUUCUGUACAUGUAAGGAGAGAGAAAUUGCCGGACAA